This 1473-nucleotide ribosomal RNA is filed under the name Klebsiella quasivariicola. Its description in RNAcentral is "bacterial SSU rRNA". It matches the Rfam family "Bacterial small subunit ribosomal RNA". The record is from RNAcentral. Lineage: Bacteria; Pseudomonadati; Pseudomonadota; Gammaproteobacteria; Enterobacterales; Enterobacteriaceae.
CUGUAGAUUGAACGCUGGCGGCAGGCCUAACACAUGCAAGUCGAGCGGUAGCACAGAGAGCUUGCUCUCGGGUGACGAGCGGCGGACGGGUGAGUAAUGUCUGGGAAACUGCCUGAUGGAGGGGGAUAACUACUGGAAACGGUAGCUAAUACCGCAUAACGUCGCAAGACCAAAGUGGGGGACCUUCGGGCCUCAUGCCAUCAGAUGUGCCCAGAUGGGAUUAGCUGGUAGGUGGGGUAACGGCUCACCUAGGCGACGAUCCCUAGCUGGUCUGAGAGGAUGACCAGCCACACUGGAACUGAGACACGGUCCAGACUCCUACGGGAGGCAGCAGUGGGGAAUAUUGCACAAUGGGCGCAAGCCUGAUGCAGCCAUGCCGCGUGUGUGAAGAAGGCCUUCGGGUUGUAAAGCACUUUCAGCGGGGAGGAAGGCGGUGAGGUUAAUAACCUCAUCGAUUGACGUUACCCGCAGAAGAAGCACCGGCUAACUCCGUGCCAGCAGCCGCGGUAAUACGGAGGGUGCAAGCGUUAAUCGGAAUUACUGGGCGUAAAGCGCACGCAGGCGGUCUGUCAAGUCGGAUGUGAAAUCCCCGGGCUCAACCUGGGAACUGCAUUCGAAACUGGCAGGCUAGAGUCUUGUAGAGGGGGGUAGAAUUCCAGGUGUAGCGGUGAAAUGCGUAGAGAUCUGGAGGAAUACCGGUGGCGAAGGCGGCCCCCUGGACAAAGACUGACGCUCAGGUGCGAAAGCGUGGGGAGCAAACAGGAUUAGAUACCCUGGUAGUCCACGCUGUAAACGAUGUCGAUUUGGAGGUUGUGCCCUUGAGGCGUGGCUUCCGGAGCUAACGCGUUAAAUCGACCGCCUGGGGAGUACGGCCGCAAGGUUAAAACUCAAAUGAAUUGACGGGGGCCCGCACAAGCGGUGGAGCAUGUGGUUUAAUUCGAUGCAACGCGAAGAACCUUACCUGGUCUUGACAUCCACAGAACUUUCCAGAGAUGGAUUGGUGCCUUCGGGAACUGUGAGACAGGUGCUGCAUGGCUGUCGUCAGCUCGUGUUGUGAAAUGUUGGGUUAAGUCCCGCAACGAGCGCAACCCUUAUCCUUUGUUGCCAGCGGUUCGGCCGGGAACUCAAAGGAGACUGCCAGUGAUAAACUGGAGGAAGGUGGGGAUGACGUCAAGUCAUCAUGGCCCUUACGACCAGGGCUACACACGUGCUACAAUGGCAUAUACAAAGAGAAGCGACCUCGCGAGAGCAAGCGGACCUCAUAAAGUAUGUCGUAGUCCGGAUUGGAGUCUGCAACUCGACUCCAUGAAGUCGGAAUCGCUAGUAAUCGUAGAUCAGAAUGCUACGGUGAAUACGUUCCCGGGCCUUGUACACACCGCCCGUCACACCAUGGGAGUGGGUUGCAAAAGAAGUAGGUAGCUUAACCUUCGGGAGGGCGCUUACCACUUUGUGAUUCAUGACUGGGGUGAAUCG